This 953-nucleotide long non-coding RNA is filed under the name Brassica rapa (field mustard). Its description in RNAcentral is "long non-coding RNA (BRAP_LNC003758)". The record is from RNAcentral. Lineage: Eukaryota; Viridiplantae; Streptophyta; Magnoliopsida; Brassicales; Brassicaceae.
CUGAUUCUCGUAAUUAAACAAACACUCGUACGAUCUCGUAUUAGUGUUGCGAUCCAAUUACGAACGAAUUCGAUCUCGUACUGACACGAUUCCACAAAAAAAAUUGUCAAAAGAGAGAGACAAAUUAAGAUGAUUUUAGUACAUUUACGAAUACUAAAAUAUAAAAUAUUAACAAAGCUAAUUAAUUGCAUAUUAAACCGGACAAAACCCAAAUCAAGAUUGAACCAAUAAAAAACAAAAACGAACUGAAACUAAAUUUAUUUUGGAGUAAUUUUUUCAAGUAGGAAAGUUUAUAACACCAGCCAAUCUCUUUUUUGUCAAUUAAAUGAUUAUAGUAGUCUAACGGUCAAAAGACAUAAAAUAGUAUAACUGAAGAUAAACUCAACGGUAAGCUUGUUAACAAAGACGACAACAACAAAAGGAGAUAUAUAUAUAUUUAAGUGGUGAAAAGAUCCGAGGAGACAUUUCAUUUGAGACCCAUAAACUAUUGUUCGAAAGAAAAACUGAUUAAAUGAUGUUGAUGCACCGAUAAGAAGAGGUUGGAGAUCGAUACAUAAAGACCGUCUCCAGUGGUGGACUGUUUACUACCAACCAAUCUAAAACUUCAUUUUAACAUGCAAAUUUAACAGAAAAAAAUUAACAAAAAAAAAAAUUGCCAGAAAAAUAAAUUAAAUUAGAAAAAGAUUGAAAAUAUGAAUGCUUCAACCUUUGAAAUGUGUCGCUAAGAGGAAACGAAGGUGUAAGAGAGAAACCAAAAACUUUCUCACACUUCCCAUCAUUUUUGUCACCCCUUCUUCUUUAUCUCAUGUCUCCUUCUAUUAACAUCCCUUACUUUCAGUCAAAAAAAAAAAAUAUCCCUUACUUUCAGUUUUUGAAUACAUAAAAUAAAAUAAAAAAUCAUUCCAAAGAUAUCAAUAAUUAUUUAUGUUUAAGAAUAUUUUUAUUACAUUACA